GAGCCUGUGUCCUAUUAGUUAGUUGGUAGGGUAAUGGCCUACCAAGACAAAGAUGGGUAUCCGGCCUGAGAGGGUGUACGGACACACUGGAACUGAAACACGGUCCAGACUCCUACGGGAGGCAGCAGUGGGGAAUAUUGCACAAUGGGCGCAAGCCUGAUGCAGCGACGCCGCGUGGAGGAUGAAUGUCUUCGGAUUGUAAACUCCUGUUAAGUGGGAAGAAAGACCAGCAUCUAAUACAUGCUGGGGAUGACGGUACCACUAGAGAAAGCACCGGCAAACUUCGUGCCAGCAGCCGCGGUAAUACGAAGGGUGCUAGCGUUGUUCGGAAUGACUGGGCGUAAAGAGCGUGGCGGCGGUUUCUUAAGUCAUCUGUUAAAUCACUCGGCUUAACUGAGUACUUGCAGGCGAUACUGGGAGGCUAGAGUGCAGGAGAGAAAGGUAGAAUUCUCGGAGUAGCGGUAAAAUGCGUAGAUCUCGAGAGGAAUACCGGUUGCGAAGGCGGCCUUUUGGCCUGUUACUGACGCUUGAGCGCGAAAGCGUGGGGAGCAAACAGGAUUAGAUACCCUGGUAGUCCACGCCGUAAACGAUGAUCACUGGAUGUGGGUCUUGCUUAGCAAGGUCUGUGUCGAAGCUAACGCG
Molecule: ribosomal RNA, 642 nt
Filed under: uncultured bacterium
Lineage: Bacteria
Description: bacterial SSU rRNA
Rfam family: Bacterial small subunit ribosomal RNA
Source: RNAcentral